AAAAUAAAAAAUUUCCUCAUAUAUCCCUAGAAAUAUGGUCUAGGAGUCUCUACCAAGCAACCGUAAAUUGUUUGACUAUGGGUGAAAAUACUC
RNAcentral lists this non-coding RNA (93 nucleotides) under uncultured Garciella sp. RNAcentral's name for it is "Purine riboswitch". It matches the Rfam family "Purine riboswitch aptamer". Rfam says of the family: Riboswitches are metabolite binding domains within certain messenger RNAs that serve as precision sensors for their corresponding targets. Allosteric rearrangement of mRNA structure is mediated by ligand binding, and this results in modulation of gene expression. The record is from RNAcentral. Lineage: Bacteria; Bacillati; Bacillota; Clostridia; Eubacteriales; Eubacteriaceae.